CUCUCUCUGAACUUAGCUCAAGGGCCAUAGAUGUUCCUAGGAACGACGAUGUCGCCGAUGUUGUUGUGCCACGGGUCCGCCAGGUGCGCGCCCAGGUUCUCCAGCGGGCCGGUGCCGGGGUACGCCGACUGCUGCACGCAGAAGCCCACGAACGCCAGCAUCGCCAGCCGCCCUGCAUCAUCAUCAGAGACAAGAUCAUACUACAUCAGCACCGAACGCUACACGCACUGCAGAUGGUUAAGAUUCAGGGGAUGGCACGUACCGUUCUUGAUCUCCUUGAGCUUGAGCUCCUCGAACUUGGCCGGGUCCUUGGAGAAUCCCAGCGGGUCGAAG
Molecule: long non-coding RNA, 333 nt
Filed under: Brachypodium distachyon (stiff brome)
Lineage: Eukaryota; Viridiplantae; Streptophyta; Magnoliopsida; Poales; Poaceae
Description: long non-coding RNA (BDIS_LNC000786)
Source: RNAcentral